RNAcentral lists this ribosomal RNA (328 nucleotides) under uncultured eukaryote. Its description in RNAcentral is "partial 18S ribosomal RNA". It matches the Rfam family "Eukaryotic small subunit ribosomal RNA", at positions 1470 to 1796 of the family's 1831-position model. The record is from RNAcentral.
CCCUUAGACGUUCUGGGCCGCACGCGCGCUACACUGACGGGGCCAGCGAGUAUAAACCUUGGCCGAGAGGUCUGGGAAAUCUUGUGAAACUCCGUCGUGCUGGGGAUAGAGCAUUGUAAUUAUUGCUCUUCAACGAGGAAUUCCUAGUAAGCGCAAGUCAUCAGCUUGCGUUGAUUACGUCCCUGCCCUUUGUACACACCGCCCGUCGCUACUACCGAUUGAAUGGCUUAGUGAGGCUUCCGGAUUGGUUUAGAGAAGGGGGCAACUCCAUCUUGGAACCGAGAAGCUAGUCAAACUUGGUCAUUUAGAGGAAGUAAAAGUCGUAACA